RNAcentral lists this non-coding RNA (101 nucleotides) under Clunio marinus. RNAcentral describes it as "Eukaryotic large subunit ribosomal RNA". It matches the Rfam family "Eukaryotic large subunit ribosomal RNA", at positions 1407 to 1507 of the family's 3401-position model. Lineage: Eukaryota; Metazoa; Arthropoda; Insecta; Diptera; Chironomidae. The record is from Rfam by way of RNAcentral.
GGUAUCUAGCGUGAGCUGAUAUGGAGCUUCCAUAAGCACAGAUCUUGGUGAUAGUAGCAAAUAUUCGAAUGAGAUCUUGGAUGGCUGAAGUGGAGAAGGUU